Alexandromys fortis (reed vole) is the source of this 1973-nucleotide long non-coding RNA. RefSeq lists it as uncharacterized. The transcript has 3 exons. The record is from RefSeq and is a predicted model, not a curated record. NCBI's taxonomy places the organism in Eukaryota, Metazoa, Chordata, Mammalia, Rodentia, Cricetidae.
UAUGAAACAUUUUAAAAUCAAAACUGUUAUUUUGGAUAUGAAUACCCUUGACAGAAUUUCAGACUUGUUAGGUACAAUUUCUAUCAUGUCGGAUGACUCAUUAACAGGUUCUAGAAUUUUUUUUAAAGAUAAUGAUUUUCAAUCCUUACUUCACUUGAGGUAAUUUGCAAAUAUUCUCUGGAGGAUUUUUGUUUUGACUUACUGAAAAAUCUGAAAAAGAAACUUUUAAGCAGAAAUUCUUUGAGGCAAAAACUAUUUCCUUCUCAUUUCAUCAAGUGAGUUGAUUGUGGAUUCUUGUAUAUAAGGAAAAACUAAAGACAGACAUAAGUCAUCUCGAGGGCACACUUCUGAGAUCAGAACCCCGGAACAUUCCAGAAUGUGGGUAGAAGAAAUGCAAUCAGGAAGAAGUCAGGCAAGGAUCUAGGUUUUUCCAAGUGUCUAAUGAACUAGUCCCGUGGUCACCUCUAGGGACUUCUGAUUCACCCUAAGGUCACCUCUUGGUGGUCACAAGAAGUAGGGGUCAGGGAACUGCACCUGCUCGCUGUGAAGGAGGGGAAAAUGUUUUUGUGAUGGGGGGGGGGAUCUUUGUUGCUGUUGUUUUUCUUCAGUGACCCGGAAUGAAGAGGUAAGUACUUGCUCUCGAGGAGAGCCACCAACUAGCGUUGCUCAGCGCACAGGAUGCCUUCCCAACCAGCGAUUUUCACUUCUGAAAUAAUCAAAUACGAAGCUGACUGGAGAAGUCCAUUUUCCUAGCCCACGAGUAAAGGUCGAUAAAAGGAUCCCUCUUCUCUUCAUUGAUGCUGCACCCCAAACAGGCAGCGUCGAGUUACCUGAUAGGGCCCUGAUAGGUGCCAGGUCCCGUGUGUCAGAGCGUCAGCCGCACAGACUUUCAAGGCCCUGCCGUGGUGGGAACAGGUGCUUCCAUGGGGAAAGUCAAGGGGAACGAUGAUCCCACAAAGCCUGACACGUGACUCGAGAUUCCGGUGUUUACUCACCUGGAGACAGAUAGGAAUCCUUCUGUGGCUAAUUCUUGGCAGCCGAGGAUUUUUCUAGCAGCGCCAGAGCUGCAGAAUUUUUAUCUGCGAUUUCCCACGGGCCUGUAACAGUGUCUGCCAUGUUAACUGGAACGGCUCUUUCAUGGGAAGGAACAGCCCUGUAAGAACGUAACGCUUGACAAGGGACUGCUCUCCCACCGACUAGAAGACCGUGCUUCUCUCUGAAGUACCCAGAAUGCACGUCACCGUGCGCUUCACACCACCAGGUGCGCUUCUCGCCACCAGGGUGUUCGGUGCACUGCUCUUCUGUGGAUGUGUUUUCCGGCGCAGGCCGAGCACUCCUCGAGACCAGGAACUGCGUGGCGUGCAAUGUCCCCAGCCAGUGGCUUGUAGUAUCCCUGUUGCAGCACAUGACCAAGUACUUCCAGCCUGUGUGAGAAGCACUGUAGGAAGUGGAGGCUUGCUUGUGUGUGGAGACUGAACGUGCGAAGGGUAUCAUUGCCCCCUCUCGUGAGGCUUUUCUGACUUCCCUUCCCACUGAGCUGAAAACAGCCUCGUGUCUGAAGGGGAGAAAAGGCAAGAGAGAACUUGAUGGAAAGGAAAAGGCAAGCCACCCAGAGCCUCCUGGAGGGAGAUCAGAUCAACCUCCUUGGCCCGGAUGUCACAGGUAGGAGAUGGAGGGAUGGAGACCUUUGGCAAAGGAGAAGAAGCCUAGGCUUGGAAGAGAGACGUUCUGGGCCACCGCUCUCUGGAGAAAUGUGAUGAAGGCAGAGAUGACGGUGGGUACACGUGAGUGCUGGUGAUUAUGCCUCACUUCAGACUUCUGGUGUAUGCUCAUUAUGAGCUUGACCAUGUGCCCCCAAAACUCAAAAGACAUACAAUUAACAUUCACAGCCCAGUGAAGACGGAGGCCCAAAGGACCCACUGCAAUGAGCUGUCUGUAGAGGGGAAGCCAGUGUCAGCUCUGCGUGGGAUCUG